CGCCGGGGCGCCCGCAGGAAGCGGCGGCGGCUGCACGGGCCGUUCGGGGCCGAAGCUCGGGCAGUAACCCCGUGGCGGAACCGGAGAGGGCCAACCCGGCGGGACCGCGCGGGCCGGGGACCAGCCCUCAACCCUCUACGUGGGAAGGCCGCCCGCCGCCCUUCGGGGCUGCCUCAGCCGGGGAACAGCCUUUCCCCGCGCAGGCCGCGGCCUCGCCCCCGCUCCGGGCCUUGCGCUGGGCCGAGGAUUAGCCGCGGCCGCGAUCCCUUCGCUCCGCCACUCACCGCAGGCCGUGCGCUCCCGCUCCCGCCGCCGCCGCCGCCGCGGCUGCCCCCGCCCCUGCCUGCCGGCCGCGGAGGCGCUCAGACAGGCCGGCGCGUGUGGCAGGAGGCGGCUCCCGGGGCCGGCGGUGCUCCGGGCGCUGCGGGCGGAGAAAGGGGCCUCGCCGCGGGAGGACCCGCCUUGGUGUCGGCAGCAUGGCAACGUCCAGCCGGGCCCAGGUGCUGCGGUUGUACCGAGCCCUGCUACGGGAGAGCCAGCGCUUCAGCAGCUAUAACUACAGAACAUAUGCCAUCAGAAGGAUAAGGGAUGCCUUCAGAGAAAACAAGAAUGUAAAGGAUUCUGAAACAAUAGAAGAACUAGUGAAUAAAGCCAAAGCCAACCUAGAGGUUAUUCAUCGGCAGGUUUUAUGUUGGAGAGCCUUGAUAUCCAAUAUUCUUCAGGGAGGUAUUAGAGGCUGGAGAAGACAAUGAAGGAGAGGAUGUCACAAGAGAAGAAUCAGACAUCACUCAGUUUUGAGCUGACAUGUAGAAGAAUGAAGACGUGGUUUUGAAGUAUGACAGCUCUAUUACAAAAGGUUCCAUUAAUAAUGAUAAAUAUGGAAUAUUUACAGCAUUUUUUUGUGUUGGCAGCAUGUUUGAGCCAAGUUGCCAGUGCAGCUGUAUGUAGCCAAAUACUGCACCUUCUUGAGGCAUUCAUUACAAGUGUCUUAGGAGUAUCAUAGAUUCCAGUUACAGUUGAAUGGAAGUGGAGAUGAUGCUGAAUGAAGUUACAUCUACGUGUUCCAGCCAGGAUAAAGCCAACAUUAUGCAGAGAGAGAACUAUUUGUACCUCUCACUUCAUUUAGUCUCUUAAAGCAUGGGAGGAGUUGAUACCUCUUUCACAGAAGAGCAAGGGGCUACAUGACAUUCUUCGUUGUCAAAAGACUGACUCUUUGCUCUCCUAUGACAUCCCAAUAUUUAGCAUGCUAGUGAGACUCUGAAUUCUUGUAGACCAAAUUAUGGAAAGUCAGGUUACUAUUGGCCAGCUGUAUUCCACACAGAAACUGGUUAUUGAGAGUCCAGGAAACACAUAGCUAUGAGAAGACUCUGAUCCCUGAAGCAACACUGGACCAUCUUCAGCAUCCUACAGUGCCACAUACAGAUGCAUCAACUCACUGCACAUGUCUGAGCUUUUCUGUUAAAGCAGAAGAAAUGCCUGAGAGACUCAGUUUUUGGCAACCAAAGUACUAUUUUCUAGUGGUUCACAUGUUCUAAAGUAUAUUGCUGUGAUUUAUAAUAGCAUGGAAGGCAGUCUUGCAAUCUGUGUGCUUGUAUGUCCUAUGUGAUGAAAUAGUUCUUGCCCUUUGAGAAUAAAACUUCAUUCAGCUACCUGUAA
This is an RNA transcript of Colius striatus (speckled mousebird), 1656 nucleotides long. It is a transcript of the gene named LYR motif containing 4, with no coding region annotated. NCBI's taxonomy places the organism in Eukaryota, Metazoa, Chordata, Aves, Coliiformes, Coliidae. The transcript has 8 exons. The record is from RefSeq and is a predicted model, not a curated record.